CCUACGGGUGGCAGCAGUGAGGAAUAUUGGUCAAUGGGCGCGAGCCUGAACCAGCCAAGUAGCGUGAAGGAUGACUGCCCUACGGGUUGUAAACUUCUUUUAUAAAGGAAUAAAGUGAGGCACGUGUGCCUUUUUGUAUGUACUUUAUGAAUAAGGAUCGGCUAACUCCGUGCCAGCAGCCGCGGUAAUACGGAGGAUCCGAGCGUUAUCCGGAUUUAUUGGGUUUAAAGGGAGCGUAGGCGGGUUGUUAAGUCAGUUGUGAAAGUUUGCGGCUCAACCGUAAAAUUGCAGUUGAUACUGGCAGCUUUGAGUACAGUAGAGGUAGGCGGAAUUCGUGGUGUAGCGGUGAAAUGCUUAGAUAUCACGAAGAACUCCGAUUGCGAAGGCAGCCUGCCGGACUGUAACUGACGCUGAUGCUCGAAAGUGUGGGUAUCAAACAGGAUUAGAUACCCGGGUAGUC
This 460-nucleotide ribosomal RNA is filed under the name uncultured bacterium. RNAcentral's name for it is "partial 16S ribosomal RNA". It matches the Rfam family "Bacterial small subunit ribosomal RNA", at positions 338 to 795 of the family's 1533-position model. The record is from RNAcentral.